This 201-nucleotide ribosomal RNA is filed under the name Grosmannia dryocoetidis. Its description in RNAcentral is "partial 18S ribosomal RNA". It matches the Rfam family "Eukaryotic small subunit ribosomal RNA", at positions 1591 to 1789 of the family's 1831-position model. The record is from RNAcentral. Lineage: Eukaryota; Fungi; Ascomycota; Sordariomycetes; Ophiostomatales; Ophiostomataceae.
UAUUGCUCUUCAACGAGGAAUCCCUAGUAAGCGCAAGUCAUCAACUUGCGCUGAUUACGUCCCUGCCCUUUGUACACACCGCCCGUCGCUACUACCGAUUGAAUGGCUCAGUGAGGCUUCCGGACUGGCCCAGGAGGGCGGGCAACCCCCCCCCCAGGCCGGAAAGUUAUCCAAACUCGGUCAUUUAGAGGAAGUAAAAGU